ACUUCCCGGGCAGCCGCCGAGGGGGGCUCCCUGGGGUGGGUGAGCCGGGAGAUGGGGGCAGCGGCAGAGAGACAGACCGUCCUGGAGAACAAGCACCCACUGUGUGCUCCGAGUGCAGUUGAGGCCGCUCCCGCUGGACCCCGGCGUGUUGUCCGCGCUGCCUGACCCAGAGAAGGCGCCCAGAGCACAGACUGCAUUCUGAUCGAGCAGGAUGUAACAGACUCUACUACACAGCAGUGUACCAGGAUUUUCCCAGCAUCAAGUCUUUCCACUUCUUAUUCUUCACAACAUCCGGAGGUGGGUACUACUGGAGCUGCCUUACAGAUGAAGAGACUGAGGUUCAGAGAGGAAGAAUCGCACGCUCCAGCUCACAAGGGCUGAUAGAACCUGCUGUGUACAAGCCCUACUCCAUAUGAGAGCAGUUCCUCUGCACAAUAGCCCAGUAAAGGGCUUAAAUGACAAGAUCCAAACUCAAACCACCCAGAACUAAUACCACAGAGUCAAAGUAUGAUCGGCCUAGGGCUUUGGGGUCCAGGUCCUAUCAUGUUAACCUCCCCUUAAAGACCAGGAAACAGAGCCUCAGAAAGGUGCUUGAUAUCAAGAUCAUAAGAUUAAACCUCCUGCUACCACUGCCAUACUGAUUUCCUGGGUGUUCAACAACGGAGUGUUGGAGCCUAAAGCUAGAAAGAGCCAAGAGAGCCAGAGAGGCUGACUGUGUUUGCCUGGGACAUCUUGGGAGCAUAAGUAUGC
This 750-nucleotide long non-coding RNA is filed under the name Cavia porcellus (domestic guinea pig). RNAcentral describes it as "lncRNA (ENSCPOG00000037668.1)". Lineage: Eukaryota; Metazoa; Chordata; Mammalia; Rodentia; Caviidae. The record is from RNAcentral.